Grus americana (Whooping crane) is the source of this 16618-nucleotide RNA transcript. It is a transcript of the gene named ubiquitin protein ligase E3 component n-recognin 4, with no coding region annotated. The record is from RefSeq and is a predicted model, not a curated record. NCBI's taxonomy places the organism in Eukaryota, Metazoa, Chordata, Aves, Gruiformes, Gruidae. The transcript is spliced from 108 exons.
CGCGUGGGGGGGGAGGUGCUUCCGGCCCUCCGUCCCCCUCCGCCGCCGCGGCCCCCCCUCGCCCAGCGGAGCGGCAAGAUGGCGGCGGGCGGCGGCGCGGGGGCCGCGGCGGAGCCGGGCUGGGAGGUGGCCGUGCGGCCGCUGCUCUCCGCCUCCUACUCGGCCUUCGAGAUGAAGGAGCUCCCGCAGCUGCUCUCCUCGGUUAUCGAGAGUGAAUCUGAAAUCCUGCACCACGACAAACAAUAUGAGCCUUUUUACUCUUCCUUCGUUGCACUUUCUACACAUUACAUCACUACUGUGUGUGGUCUAAUACCAAGAAACCAAUUGCAAUCAGUGGCAGCUGCUUGUAAAGUCCUGAUUGAAUUCUCACUGCUGCGCCUAGAGAACCCAGAUGAAGCAUGUGCUGUUUCGCAGAAACAUCUCAUUCUACUGAUAAAGGGGCUGUGCACGGGCUGCAGCCGCCUAGAUCGAACUGAAAUUAUUACCUUCACAGCAAUGAUGAAAUCGGCCAAGCUGCCUCAGACUGUCAAAACCCUCUCUGAUGUAGAGGACCAGAAGGAGCUGGCCUCCCCGGUGAGCCCAGAACUAAGACAGAAAGAAGUGCAGAUGAACUUCCUCAAUCAGUUGACAUCAGUCUUUAACCCUAGAGUCUCCUCAUCACCGUCUGUCACACCAGAGACGCAGGUGGAAGGAGAGAGUGAGGAUCAAGCUUCCACAGAUCAAACCUCUGCGGCAAAGACAAAAAGCAUAUUCAUCGCUCAGAAUGUGGCCAGCCUGCAAGAACUUGGUGGCUCUGAGAAACUGCUGAGAGUGUGCCUGAACCUCCCAUACUUUUUGCGAUACAUAAAUCGAUUUCAGGAUGCAGUGUCGGCCAACUCAUUUUUUAUUAUGCCAGCCACAGUGGCGGAUGCCACUGCUGUUCGCAAUGGAUUUCACUCGCUGGUAAUAGAUGUGACCAUGGCACUGGAUACUCUGUCUCUGCCUGUACUGGAGCCCCUGACACCCACGCGUCUCCAAGAUGUGACUGUUCUUGCUCUCAGCUGUCUCUACGCAGGUGUGAGUGUGGCAACUUGCAUGGCCAUCCUACACGUGGGUAGCACUCAGCAGGUACGAACUGGGUCAACAAGUUCCAAAGAAGAAGAUUAUGAAAAUGAUGCUGCUACUAUUGUACAGAAAUGUCUUGAAAUCUAUGAAAUGAUUGGGCAAGCCAUCAGCAAUUCACGCCGUGCAGGGGGUGAGCAUUAUCAGAACUUCCAGCUGCUCGGGGCUUGGUGUUUGCUAAACAGCCUCUUCCUCAUCUUGAACCUCAGCCCCACAGCCUUGGCUGAUAAGGGAAAAGAGAAGGAUCCAUUGGCUGCUCUUCGCGUCAGAGACAUUAUUGCUCGUACUAAGGAAGGCGUUGGGUCUCCUAAACUAGGACCUGGGAAAGGGCAUCAAGGUUUUGGUGUUCUGUCAGUGGUGCUAGCAAAUCAUGCUAUCAAAUUGCUGUCAUCACUCUUUCAAGAUCUGCAAGUGGAGGCCUUGCACAAGGGCUGGGAGAGUGAUGGUCCGCCAGCAGUGCUGGAUAUCAUGGCUCAAAGCACAUCCAUCCAGAGAAUUCAGCGGCUGAUAGAUUCUGUACCACUCACUAAUUUGCUGCUGACUUUGCUGUCUACUUCCUACAGAAAGGCUUGUGUCUUGCAGCGUCAGAGGAAGGGCUCCAUGAGCAGUGAUGCAAGUGCCUCCACUGAUUCUAAUACUUACUACGAGGAUGAUUUUAGCAGCACCGAGGAGGACAGCAGCCAAGAUGACGAUAGCGAACCAAUCCUUGGGCAAUGGUUUGAAGAGACAAUCUCUCCAAGCAAAGAGAAAGUGGCCCCGCCGCCACCCCCUCCACCACCGCCUCUGGAGAGCUCGCCUAGAGUGAAAAGCCCUAACAAACAGACUGCUGGAGAGAACGGGAACAUCCUGGCCAGCCGCAAAGAUCCAGAGUUGUUUUUGAGCUUAGCUUCAAACAUUUUGAACUUUAUCACGACUUCUAUGCUGAACUCCAGGAAUAACUUCAUUCGCAACUACCUGAGCGUGUCUCUGUCAGAACAGCACAUGGCUACGCUGGCUAGCAUCAUCAAAGAGGUGGAUAAGGACGGGCUUAAGGGCACGUCAGAUGAGGAGUUUGCUGCUGCGCUGUAUCACUUCAACCAUUCUUUGGUGACCUCAGAUCUUCAGUCCCCUGCCUUGCAGAACACACUUCUUCAGCAGCUGGGAGUGGCCCCUUUUUCUGAAGGUCCAUGGCCUCUCUACAUCCAUCCUCAAAGUUUGUCGGUGCUUUCACGGCUUCUCCUGAUUUGGCAGCAUAAAGCCACUGCCCAGGGAGAUCCUGAUGUUCCAGAAUGCCUUAAAGUUUGGGAAAGGUUUGUGGGCACACUGAAGCAAAAUGCCUUGCAGGGGACUCUUCCUGGUGACACAGAAGAUCUGAACGUUGAACAUCUCCAGCUGCUGCUGCUUAUUUUUCACAAUUUCUCUGAGAGGGGCCGCAGAUCUAUCAUGAUGCUCUGCAUCCAGACAAUUGUGGAGCUGACAGUGAACAUGGAUACUCAGCAAUGUUCUGUGCCACUUAUCGUGGCACGUCUGCUCUUGGUGUUUGACUACCUGCUCCAUCAGUAUUCCAAGGCCCCCAUGUACCUAUUUGAACAGGUGCAAUACAAUUUGCUGACUCCACCCAUUGGCUGGGUGAGUGGAUCCCAGGACAGUAGCAGACGAACGUCUGUCCCACUUUAUCAUGCGUUUAAAGAAGUGGAAGAAAACUGGACCAAACACUGUUCAUCAGACGCAGUUCCACAGCCCAGAUUCUACUGCAUCCUAUCUCUAGAAGCUUCUGAAGAUGAUCUGAACCGUCUAGAUAGCACGGUUUGUGAGGUCCUUUUCUCUAGGACUAUGAAGUAUGAUGAGCUUUACACAGCCCUGACUUCAUUACUUGCAGCUGGAUCACAGUUUGAUACACUCAGGAGGAAAGAGAACAAAAAUGUCACUGCACUGGAAGCCUGUGCACUUCAGUACUACUUCUUGAUAUUGUGGCGGAUACUAGGGAUUUUGCCUCCAUCCAAAAACUACAUGAAUCAAUUGGCUACGAACACACCAGAGAUGAGUGAAUGUGAUAUUUUACACACGUUGCGCUGGUCUUCCCGGCUGCGAAUCACAUCUUAUGUCACAUGGAUCAAGGAUCACCUUACCAAGCAGGGCAUGAAAGCUGACCACGCUGCUUCUCUCAUUGAGUUGGCCUCCAGCAAGUGCAGCUCAGUGAAGUAUGAUGUGGAAAUAGCAGAGGAAUACUUUGCGCGACAGAUAUCUUCUUUCUGUGGUGUUGAUUGCACAACUAUUCUCCAACUGCACGAAGUUCCCAGUUUACAGUCCAUUUACACCCUUGAUGCUGCAAUUUCCAAGAUUCAGGUUUCUCUAGAUGAGCACUUUUCCAAGCUAGCUGCAGAAACUGAUCCACAAAAGUCUUCAGAGAUAACCAAGAACCUCCUGCCUGCUACGCUACAGCUUAUUGACACUUACGCUACGUUUACCAGAUCUUACUUGCUACGGAGCCUCUCUGAAGAGGGCUCCACUGAGAACAAACCCUCUGAAGAGAAGCUACGAGGUUAUGCUGCUGUCUUGGCCAUCGGAUCCAGCCGUUGCAAGUCUAAUACUCUAGGUCCAACACUCGUUCAGAACUUGCCAUCAGCUGUGCAGACAUUGUGUGAAUCAUGGAACAACAUUCAUACAAAUGAGUUUCCCAACAUUGGCUCAUGGCGCAACGCCUUUGCGAAUGACACGAUCCCCGCAGAAAGCUACAUCAGUGCAGUUCAGGCCGCCCACCUCGGUACUCUGUGCAGCCAAAGCCUACCUCUUGCAGCUUCCCUAAAGCACACCCUUCUCUCCCUGGUCAGACUCACUGGGGAUCUCAUUGUCUGGUCAGAUGAUUUGAACCCACCACAGGUGAUUCAUUCCCUACUGCCCCUCCUUUUGGAGACCAGCACAGAGAGCGUGGCAGAAAUAAGCAGCAACUCCCUCGAAAGGAUCUUGGGCCCUGCAGAAUCAGAUGAAUUCCUGGCACGUGUUUAUGAAAAAUUGAUCACAGGAUGCUACAACAUACUGGCCCAUCACUCUGAUCCAAACAGUGGCCUGGAUGAGUCCAUCUUGGAGGAAUGUUUGCAGCAUCUGGAGAAACAGCUGGAGAGCAGCCAGGCCCGAAAAGCCAUGGAGGAAUUCUUUUCAGAAAGUGGAGAACUGGUCCAGAUCAUGAUGGCAACAGCCAAUGAAAACCUCUCGGCGAAGUUCUGUAACAGGGUGCUGAAAUUCUUCACCAAGCUCUUCCAGCUCACUGAGAAGAGUCCCAACCCCAGCCUGCUCCGACUUUGUGGCUCUUUGGCUCAACUGGCUUGUGUGGAGCCUGUACGUCUCCAGGCCUGGUUAACCAGGAUGACCAUGUCCCCACCCAAAGAUUCAGAUCAGCUGGAUGUUGUGCAAGAGAACAGGCAACUGCUGCAACUCCUAACAACUUACAUUGUUCGGGAAAACAGCCAAGUCGGAGAAGGCGUGUGCACUGUUCUACUGAGUACUCUAAUACCAAUGGCAACAGAAAUGUUGGCCAACGGCGAUGGCACGGGUUUUCCUGAACUGAUGGUCGUGAUGGCAACUUUAGCUAGUGCAGGACAAGGUGCAGGACACCUCCAGCUUCAUGGUGCUGCUGUUGAUUGGCUAGGCCGAUGCAAGAAAUACCUGUCACAAAAGAAUGUAGUAGAAAAAAUGAAUGCUAACGUCAUGCAAGGGAAGCACGUCACUAUCCUGGAGUGUACGUGCCAUAUUGUCUCUUACCUGGCCGAUGUCACUAAUGCACUGAGCCAGACCAGCGGCCAAGGACCGAGUCACCUUUCUGUUGAUGGAGAGGAACGGGCGAUUGAGGUGGAUUCGGACUGGGUGGAAGAGUUGGCAGUGGAGGAGGAGGACUCUCAAGCUGAAGAUUCGGAUGAAGAUUCUCUUUGUAAUAAACUCUGUACCUUCACCAUCACACAGAAAGAAUUCAUGAAUCAACAUUGGUAUCACUGUCACACUUGCAAGAUGGUUGAUGGGGUUGGUGUUUGCACCGUUUGUGCUAAAGUUUGUCACAAGGAUCAUGAGAUUUCUUAUGCCAAAUACGGAUCGUUCUUCUGCGACUGUGGAGCCAAGGAAGAUGGCAGUUGCCUGGCUUUGGUGAAGAGAACUCCCAGCAGUGGUAUGAGCUCUACCAUGAAAGAAUCCGCCUUCCAGAGCGAGCCCAGAGUGCCCGAGAGUGUCAUUCGACAUGCAAGCACCUCUCCUGCAGAGAAAGCCAAGGUCACCAUCAGUGAGGGGAAAGGCCCUGAUGAAGAAAAACCCAAGAAGAGCAGCCUGUGUAGAAACGUUGAGGGCUGUCGAGAGGAAUUGCAGUCCCAGGCCAACUUCUCCUUUGCACCUUUGGUGCUGGAGAUGCUGAAUUUCCUGAUGGAUGCCAUUCAGAUAAACUUCCAGCAAGCUUCAGCCAUGGGGAGCAGCAGUCGUGCACAGCAAGCUCUCAAUGAGCUGCAUACUUUGGACAAGUCAGUAGAAAUGACAGAUCAGUUGAUGGUCCCAACUCUCGGCUCUCAAGAAGGUGCUUUUGAGAACGUCCGCAUGAACUACAGUGGUGACCAGGGCCAGACGAUCCGGCAGCUGAUCAGCGCUCAUGUGCUGAGGCGGGUGGCGAUGUGUGUGCUGUCGUCCCCGCACGGACGUCGGCAGCACCUGGCUGUGAGUCAUGAAAAGGGCAAGAUUACAGUCCUUCAGCUCUCAGCGUUGCUGAAACAAGCAGACUCCAGCAAAAGAAAAUUGACCCUUACUCGCCUUGCAUCUGCACCCGUUCCAUUUACUGUACUGAGCCUAACCGGAAAUCCCUGCAAGGAGGAUUACCUGGCUGUGUGUGGACUGAAAGACUGCCACGUGUUGACAUUCAGCAGCUCUGGAUCAGUCUCUGAUCAUUUGGUACUUCAUCCCCAACUAGCCACGGGAAAUUUCAUCAUUAAAGCUGUGUGGCUGCCAGGAUCUCAAACAGAGCUUGCUAUUGUGACUGCAGAUUUUGUGAAGAUUUAUGAUCUCUCUGUAGAUGCCUUGAGUCCAACUUUCUAUUUCCUUCUACCGAGUUCCAAAAUCAGGGAUGUCACUUUCCUUUUUAACGAGGAGGGGAAGAACAUAAUAGUGAUCAUGUCCUCUGCUGGGUACAUCUAUACGCAGCUCAUGGAAGAGGCGAGCAGUGCCCAGCAUGGCCCUUUCUACGUCACCAAUGUGCUUGAAGUCAGUCAUGAGGACCUAAAGGACAGUAAUGGCCAGGUAGCAGGAGGAGGUGUGUCCGUGUAUUACUCCCAUGUGCUACAGAUGUUGUUCUUCAGUUACUGCCAAGGCAAAUCCUUUGCAGCCACCAUCAGCCGGGCCAAUCUGGAAGUACAGCGGCUAUUCCCAAUUAACAUAAAGAGUUCAAAUGGUGGGAGUAAGACUUCACCGGCACUGUGUCAGUGGUCUGAGGUGAUGAACCAUCCCGGCUUGGUGUGCUGUGUUCAACAAACCACGGGUGUCCCACUGGUGGUGAUGGUGAAGCCGGACACCUUUCUCAUCCAGGAGAUUAAAACCUUGCCAGCCAAAGCAAAGAUUCAGGACAUGGUGGCCAUCCGUCACACAGCCUGCAACGAGCAGCAGAGAACCACUAUGAUCCUCCUGUGCGAAGAUGGCAGCCUGAGGAUCUACAUGGCCAAUGUAGAGAAUACCUCCUACUGGCUCCAGCCCUCUCUCCAACCUAGCAGCGUCAUCAGCAUCAUGAAGCCAGUUCGCAAGCGCAAGGCAGCUGCUAUUACAACUCGCACAUCCAGCCAAGUGAACUUCCCUAUUGACUUCUUUGAACACAACCAGCAACUCACAGAUGUGGAGUUUGGAGGCAAUGACCUGCUGCAGGUUUACAAUGCUCAGCAGAUAAAGCACCGACUCAAUUCCACUGGCAUGUAUGUGGCCAACACAAAGCCUGGGGGUUUCACCAUUGAAGUGACGAACAAUAACAGCACGAUGGUGAUGACAGGCAUGCGGAUCCAGAUUGGCACACAAGCGAUAGAGAGAGCGCCCUCAUACUUGGAGAUCUUUGGCCGCACCAUGCAGCUGAACAUGACCAGGGCUCGUUGGUUUGAUUUCCCUUUCACUCGCGAGGAGGCCUUGCAGGCUGACAAAAAACUAACCAUCUUCAUUGGGGCUUCUGUGGAUCCUGCUGGAGUCACAAUGAUGGAUUCCAUAAAAAUUUAUGGCAAAACCAAAGAACAGUUUGGAUGGCCCGAUGAGCCCCCUGAAGAUUUCCCAUCUGCUUCAGUGAGCAACGUUUGUCCUCCAAACCUGAAUCAAGGGAAUGGCACUGGAGACACGGAGUCGGCUACCCCUGCUGCUGCCAGUGGGACUGUCCUGGAGAGUUCUGAAACUGAGUCCCUAACCACCCUGGACCGGCUAGUAGUGAGUUCUUUAGAAGCGCUGGAAAGCUGCUUUGCUGUAGGACCAGUCAACGAGAAGGAGAAGAAUAAGGUGGCAGCUCAGGAGCUGGCUACUAUGCUGCUGUCCAUGCCAGCUCCUUCCAGCGUCCAGCAGCAAACCAAGAGCCUCUUGGCUAGCUUGCACACCAGCCGCUCAGCUUACCACAACCACAAGGAUCAAGCAUUGCUAAGUAAAGCCAUUCAGUAUUUGAGUUCCUCAACUAAAGAAGGAAAGGACCUUGAUCCUGAAGUAUUUCAGAGGCUGGUCAUCACUGCUCGAUCCAUUGCUAUUAUGAGACCCAACAAUCUGGUCCACUAUACUGAAUCAAAGCUGCCACAGUUGGAAACAGAGAGUGAAGAAGGGCAAGAGGCCCAGAAACAUGCUGAAGGAGAUGGCUGCACAUUUAUUACCCAGCUGGUUAACCACUUCUGGAAGCUACAUGCAUCAAAACCCAAAAACGCCUUCCUUGCCCCUGCCUGCCUGCCAGGUCUCACUCACGUUGAAGCCACGGUCAAUGCUUUGGUGGAUAUUAUCCAUGGAUACUGCACAUGUGAACUGGAUUGUAUCCAUACAGCAUCCAAGAUCUACAUGCAGAUGUUACUUUGCCCGGAUCCUGCAGUGAGCUUUUCUUGCAAACAAGCUUUGAUCAGAGUGCUGAGGCCAAGGAACAAGCGGAGACAUGUCACCUUGCCAUCCUCCCCUCGGAGCAAUACUCCUAUGGGAGAUAAGGAUGAUGAUGACGAUGAUGAUGCAGAAGACAAACUGCAGAGUUCUGGGAUAGCAAAUGGCGAGCAUAUCCGACAAGAAAGCCAGGAGCAAAGCGAAGUUGAUCAUGGGGACUUCGAGAUGGUGUCUGAAUCUAUGGUUCUGGAGACUUCUGAAAAUGUGAAUAAUGGCAACCCUUCUCCCCUGGAGGCUCUUCUGGCUGGAGCAGAGGGAUUCCCUCCUAUGCUGGAUAUUCCUCCGGAUGCAGAUGAUGAAACAAUGGUGGAAUUGGCCAUUGCCCUGAGCCUACAACAAGAUCAGCAAGGGAGCAGCAGUAGUGCACUUGGACUUCAGAGCUUAGGACUGUCUGGCCAAGCACCCAGCUCUUCUUCUCUUGAUGCCGGAACGCUCUCAGAUACAACAGCAUCAGCUCUCUUUAUUCUCUUAGCUCCAGCGUCUGAUGAUGAAGGCAGCACAGCUGCAACAGACGGCUCGACUCUUCGGACUUCACCUGCAGACCAUGGUGGGAGCGUGGGCUCUGAGAGCGGUGGCAGCGCAGUGGACUCCGUAGCUGGUGAGCACAGUGUGUCUGGCCGUAGCAGUGCCUAUGGGGACACGACAGCUGAGGGCCACCCUGCGGGACCAGGCAGCGUCAGCUCAAGCACGGGAGCUAUCAGCACUACCACAGGCCAGCAAGAGGGAGAUGGUUCAGAAGGGGAAGGGGAGGCAGAGGGAGACGUCCACACCAGCAACAGGCUCCACAUGGUUCGACUGAUGUUGCUGGAGAGGCUGCUGCAAAACUUACCUCAGCUGAGGAACGUUGGAGGAGUCCGGGCCAUUCCUUAUAUGCAGGUUAUUCUGAUGCUCACAACAGACCUAGAUGGAGAUGAUGAGAAAGAUAAGGGAGCUUUAGAUAACCUCCUGUCCCAGCUGAUUGCAGAACUGUGCAUGGACAAAAAGGAUGUGUCUAAGAAAAAUGAACGUUCUCCUGUGAAUGAAGUGCACUUGGUGGUAAUGAGGCUGCUUAGCGUGUUCAUGUCCAGAACUAAGUCAGGAUCCAAGUCUUCCAUUUGCGAGUCUUCCUCCCUCAUCUCUAGUGCUACUGCUGCUGCAUUGUUGAGCUCUGGUGCUGUUGACUACUGUCUGCAUGUGCUGAAGUCUUUGCUGGAGUACUGGAAAAGCCAGCAGAACGACGAGGAGCCUGUAGCCACCAGCCAGCUCCUGAAACCUCACACCACUUCUUCUCCACCUGACAUGAGCCCUUUUUUCCUCCGCCAAUAUGUGAAGGGUCAUGCUGCAGAUGUUUUCGAGGCCUACACUCAGCUCCUGACAGAGAUGGUACUGCGCCUGCCCUACCAGAUCAAGAAGAUUGCAGACACAAACUCCCGCAUUCCACCUCCUAUCUUUGAUCACUCCUGGUUUUACUUUUUGUCUGAGUACCUGAUGAUCCAGCAGACUCCGUUCGUGCGCCGCCAAGUCCGCAAGCUUUUGCUCUUUAUCUGCGGAUCAAAGGAUAAAUACCGUCAGCUCAGAGACCUUCACACCUUGGACUCUCACGUUCGUGGAAUCAAAAAGCUCCUGGAAGAGCAAGGCAUUUUCCUUCGUGCCAGCGUGGUCACAGCAAGUUCAGGCUCUGCCCUGCAGUACGAUACAUUGAUCAGCUUGAUGGAACAUUUAAAGGCUUGUGCAGAGAUUGCCACACAGCGAACAGUAAACUGGCAGAAAUUCUGCAUUAAAGAUGACUCGGUUCUCUAUUUCCUCCUUCAAGUCAGCUUCCUAGUAGAUGAAGGAGUGUCGCCAGUUCUCCUGCAGCUGCUGUCUUGUGCUCUGUGUGGCAGCAAAGUUCUGUCUGUGGCUUCAUCCGCUGUAUCAUCAAGCACCUCUUCCACCUCUGCUCCUGCAGCAUCAGGCUCCGGGCAGCCAGCAGCACAGAGCAAAUCCUCCACUAAAAAGAGCAAGAAAGAAGAAAAGGAAAAGGAGCGAGAGGGUGAGAGCUCGGGCAGCCAGGAAGAUCAGCUGUGUACCGCUCUGGUGAACCAGUUGAACAAGUUUGCUGAUAAGGAGACCCUCAUUCAGUUCCUGCGGUGCUUCUUACUGGAGUCCAACUCGUCCUCCGUGAGAUGGCAGGCCCACUGCCUCGCGCUCCACAUCUACAGGAACUCUAACAAGUCUCAGCAAGAAUUACUGUUGGAUCUCAUGUGGUCAAUCUGGCCAGAACUUCCAGCCUAUGGAAGAAAGGCUGCCCAGUUUGUAGAUCUCCUGGGAUACUUCUCUCUGAAAACACAGCAGACUGAGAAAAAGUUGAAGGAAUACUCCCAAAAGGCCGUGGAGAUCCUCCGGACUCAAAACCACAUCCUUACCAACCACCCUAACUCCAACAUUUACAACACGCUGUCUGGGCUGGUGGAAUUUGAUGGCUACUACCUGGAGAGCGAUCCUUGCCUUGUCUGCAACAAUCCAGAGGUGCCCUUCUGUUACAUCAAGCUUUCCUCCAUUAAAGUGGACACGCGGUAUACUACCACCCAGCAAGUGGUGAAGCUAAUUGGCAGCCACACCAUCAGCAAAGUGACGGUGAAGAUAGGAGACCUGAAACGAACCAAAAUGGUGCGAACCAUCAACCUCUAUUACAACAACAGGACAGUACAAGCCAUAGUGGAGCUGAAAAACAAGCCGGCUCGUUGGCACAAAGCUAAAAAAGUCCAGCUGACCCCAGGCCAGACGGAGGUGAAGAUUGAUUUGCCACUGCCCAUUGUGGCUUCAAACCUGAUGAUUGAAUUUGCAGAUUUCUAUGAGAAUUACCAGGCUUCCACGGAGACCCUGCAGUGCCCCCGGUGUAGCGCAUCCGUCCCAGCCAACCCGGGGGUGUGCGGGAACUGCGGCGAAAACGUGUACCAGUGCCACAAGUGCAGAUCCAUUAAUUACGACGAGAAAGAUCCUUUCCUUUGCAAUGCCUGUGGGUUCUGUAAAUAUGCUCGUUUUGACUUCAUGUUGUAUGCCAAGCCUUGCUGUGCAGUGGAUCCCAUAGAAAAUGAAGAGGAUCGAAAGAAGGCAGUAACAAAUAUCAACGCUCUCCUGGACAAGGCUGACAGAGUGUAUCACCAGCUAAUGGGACACCGACCACAGCUGGAAAACCUUCUGUGUAAGGUGAAUGAGGCGGCUCCAGAAAAGCCACAGGAUGAAUCUGGUAGUAGUGGAGGGAUAAGUUCUACCUCAGCUAGUGUGAAUAGAUACAUACUUCAGUUAGCCCAGGAGUACUGUGGUGACUGCAAGAACUCUUUUGACGAACUUUCCAAAAUCAUCCAGAAAGUGUUUGCCUCUCGAAAAGAACUCCUGGAAUACGAUCUCCAACAGAGAGAGGCAGCAACGAAGUCCUCACGAACCACAGUCCAACCCACGUUUACUGCCAGCCAGUACCGUGCCUUGUCUGUUUUAGGCUGCGGCCACACAUCAUCAACUAAAUGCUAUGGCUGUGCCUCAGCCGUCACCGAACACUGCAUAACAUUGCUUCGGGCUUUGGCGACCAACUCUGCCAUCAGGCAUAUCCUUGUGUCCCAGGGCCUUAUCCGAGAGCUCUUUGACUACAACUUGCGCCGGGGCGCAGCCACCAUGCGGGAGGAGGUCCGUCAGCUCAUGUGCCUUCUGACCAGGGACAAUCCAGAGGCCACGCAACAAAUGAAUGACUUAAUCAUUGGGAAGGUUUCUGCAGCUCUGAAGGGACACUGGGCAAAUCCAGACCUGGCUAGCAGCCUCCAGUAUGAAAUGUUGCUGCUGACAGAUUCCAUCUCGAAGGAAGACAGCUGCUGGGAGCUCCGACUACGCUGUGCUCUCAGCCUCUUUCUAAUGGCAGUGAACAUUAAGACUCCAGUGGUUGUUGAAAACAUCACCCUCAUGUGCCUGCGCAUUCUUCAAAAGCUGAUCAAGCCGCCUGCUCCAACCAGCAAGAAAAACAAGGAUGUGCCUGUGGAUGCUCUCACCACUGUGAAGCCUUACAGCAAUGAAAUCCAUGCGCAAGCUCAGCUGUGGCUCAAGAGGGACCCCAAAGCAUCAUACGAAGCUUGGAAAAAGUGCCUCCCUGCCAGAGGUAUAGAUGCCAAUGGGAAAUCUCCCAGCAAAGCUGAGCUUCACCAGCUCUACUUGUCAGAAAAAUAUGUCUGGAAAUGGAAACAGUUCAUGAGUCGCCGUGGGAAGAGAACUUGCCCUCUGGAUCUCAAGCUGGGACACAACAAUUGGCUGCGACAGGUGCUGUUUACUCCUGCCACUCAAGCUGCAAGGCAGGCUGCGUGUACUAUUGUGGAAGCUCUGGCUACCAUCCCCAGCCGAAAGCAGCAGGUCCUUGAUCUCUUGACGAGCUACUUGGAUGAGCUGAGCAUUGCUGGCGAGUGUGCCGCCGAGUACCUGGCACUGUAUCAGAAACUCAUCAAACCGGCCCACUGGAAGGUCUACCUGGCAGCCAGGGGGGUUCUGCCCUACAUUGGCAGCCUCAUCACUAAGGAAAUAGCUCGUUUACUUGCCUUGGAGGAAGCAACGCUCAGCACUGAUUUGCAGCAGGGAUAUGCCUUGAAGAGUCUCACAGGUCUUCUCUCUUCCUUCGUGGAGGUGGAGUCCAUCAAACGACACUUCAAAAGCCGCCUGGUGGGUACAGUCCUGAAUGGUUACCUGUGUUUGAGGAAGUUAGUGGUACAGAGGACAAAGCUGAUCGAUGAAACCCAGGACAUGCUGCUGGAGAUGCUAGAAGAUAUGACAACAGGCACAGAAUCCGAAACCAAAGCAUUUAUGGCGGUGUGUAUAGAGACUGCAAAACGUUACAGCCUUGAUGACUACAGGACUCCAGUCUUCAUCUUUGAGAGACUAUGCAGUAUUAUCUAUCCUGAAGAGAAUGAAGUGACCGAGUUCUUUGUAACUCUGGAGAAAGAUCCCCAGCAGGAAGACUUCUUACAGGGCAGAAUGCCAGGAAAUCCCUACAGCAGUAAUGAGCCUGGCAUCGGGCCACUCAUGAGGGACAUCAAGAACAAAAUCUGUCAGGACUGUGACCUGGUGGCUCUGCUGGAGGAUGACAGUGGAAUGGAGCUUUUGGUGAACAAUAAGAUCAUCAGUUUGGAUCUGCCUGUGGCUGAGGUCUACAAGAAAGUGUGGUGUCCCACGAAUGAGGGGGAGCCGAUGAGGAUCAUUUACCGCAUGCGAGGGUUACUGGGAGAUGCAACUGAAGAAUUCAUCGAGUCUCUCGAUUCCACUACUGAUGAAGAGGAGGAUGAGGAAGAAGUUUAUAAGAUGGCAGGUGUCAUGGCCCAGUGUGGAGGCUUGGAGUGCAUGCUCAACAGACUGACUGGAAUCAAGGACUUCAAACAAGGCCGGCACCUUUUAACCGUGCUGUUAAAACUGUUUAGUUACUGUGUGAAGGUGAAAAUAAAUCGUCAGCAGUUGGUCAAGCCGGAGAUGAACACUUUGAACGUCAUGCUGGGAACUCUUAACUUGGCUCUGGUGGCUGAGCAGGAAAGUAAGGACAGCGGAGGAGCGGCCGUGGCAGAACAAGUGCUUAGUAUAAUGGAGAUCAUACUGGAUGAAUCCAAUGCAGAACCUCUGAGCGAGGACAAGGGUAACCUCCUCCUAACUGGUGACAAAGAUCAGCUGGUAAUGUUGCUUGAUCAGAUUAACAGCACUUUUGUCCGUUCCAAUCUCAGCGUCUUGCAAGGCCUAUUACGCAUCAUCCCUUACCUGUCCUUCGGGGAAAUGGAGAAAAUGCAGAUUCUGGUUGAUCGAUUCAAGCCCUACUGUAACUUUGAUAAGUAUGAUGAGGAGCACAGUGGAGAUGAUAAAGUUUUCCUAGACUGCUUCUGUAAAAUAGCAGCAGGAAUAAAGAACAACAGCAACGGCCAUCAGCUGAAAGAUCUCAUCCUUCAGAAAGGAAUUACGCAGAAUGCCCUUGACUACAUGAAAAAGCACAUUCCCAGUGCAAAGAAUUUGGACGCAGACAUAUGGAAGAAAUUCUUAUCUCGACCUGCGCUUCCUUUUAUCCUGCGCCUGCUCCGAGGACUUGCCACGCAGCACCCUGCUACGCAGGUGCUAAUAGGUACAGACUCCAUUACCAACCUGCACAAACUGGAGCAGGUGUCUAGUGAUGAAGGGAUUGGGACGUUAGCGGAGAAUCUUCUGGAGGCACUCAGGGAACAUCCAGAGGUGAAUAAGAAGAUUGAUGCUGCCCGGAAGGAGACACGUGCAGAGAAGAAGCGUAUGGCCAUGGCAAUGAGACAGAAGGCCUUGGGCACUCUGGGGAUGACGACGAAUGAGAAGGGUCAGGUAGUAACCAAGACCGCGCUGCUUAAACAGAUGGAGGAACUUAUAGAAGAACCAGGUCUGACUUGCUGCAUCUGCCGGGAAGGAUACAAGUUUCAGCCUACAAAAGUCCUAGGUAUUUAUACUUUCACCAAACGUGUUGCACUAGAGGAGUUUGAGAACAAGCCCCGAAAACAGCAGGGAUACAGCACAGUCUCUCACUUCAACAUUGUCCACUACGAUUGUCACCUUGCAGCCGUAAGACUUGCCCGUGGCCGUGAAGAAUGGGAGAGUGCAGCCCUACAAAAUGCCAACACCAAGUGUAAUGGGCUCCUGCCAGUCUGGGGACCUCAUGUGCCAGAGUCUGCUUUUGCUACUUGCUUAGCGCGACACAACACGUACCUCCAGGAAUGCACAGGGCAGCGGGAACCCACCUACCAGCUCAAUGUCCAUGACAUUAAACUGCUAUUUCUCCGUUUUGCGAUGGAGCAAUCAUUCAGCGUAGAUACUGGAGGAGGAGGAAGGGAGAGCAACAUACACCUCAUUCCGUACAUAAUCCACACGGUGCUCUACGUCCUCAACACAACUCGAGCAACUUCGAGGGAGGAGAAAAACCUCCAGAGCUUCAUGGAGCACCCCAAAGAGAAGUGGGUGGAGAGUGCCUACGAGGUGGACGGGCCCCAUUACUACACCGUGCUGGCGCUGCACAUCUCUCCCCCCGAGAAGUGGAAAGCCAUGCGAGUGGAGAUCCUCAAGAGGCUCCUCGUCACCUCCCACGCGCGAGUGGUGUCACCAGGGGGAGCCAGCAGACUGGCAGAUAAGACAGUGAAGGAAUACGCAACGUACCGCUCUGGCCUUCUCUUCUGGGCCCUAGUAGAUCUCAUUUACAACAUGUUCAAGAAGGUGCCUACCAGUAACACAGAGGGAGGCUGGUCCUACUCUCUUGCUGAAUUCAUACGACACAAUGACAUGCCAAUACACGAAGCUGCAGACAAGGCCCUGAAAACCUUCCAGGAGGAGUUCAUGCCAGUUGAAACGUUUUCCGAGUUUUUGGAUGUGGCUGGGCUCUUAUCAGAAAUCAAUGAUCCCGACAGCUUCCUCAAGGAUCUUUUGAACUCCAUCCCCUGAGCCGCCAGCACCGAGAAACAUUGGGCAGAGACUACACUAGCUUGCCUUCCACCCCUUUGUGUUCCUCCUGGUGCAGUCUGUCCCUUCCCUGAGGAGUGCUGCAGUUUUUUUGGGUUUUGUUUUGGGUUGGUUUUUUUUUUUUUUAUUUUCUACAAUUUUUUCUUCUUGGAGUGAUUUGGAAUUUAGAUUUGUUUUAUCUUGUAUUUCAGUGCUUCUAUCUGUAAAGCCUUGUGUAUUUGAGCUGGUUGAAAGAACUUGUACAGAGAGGAAUCUAAACCGAGCUCCUUCUCUCGGGGCUCAGAGCUGCUGCUCUUUCCGACCCACAGUCUGGACAAGGAGACACAGGAAACAAAAGGCUCGUGUGAGCGAGGAAGCAGCCUGACACUGUCUUUACCGAUCGUACAUGCAGAGCAGGUUUCCCCUUGCGGGACAUGAGCCUUAGAGACUCGUGGACUGCAAGGACAGCGUUUCCUUCCACCCCUUCUUCACCCGGGUGAGGGCAGCUGUCGUCUCCCCACACGCUUCGUGUUACCCCUCUCCGAGGCAUGUUGCGCAUCACGGUGUCCUUCCUGACCUGACUCUCACCAAGGCUGCGUUCAAAGCAAACGCGCAUGUUGUCGCUUCGGGUCGCAUAGUACGACGGCGACGUCACCUCUCGGAGGGAUGCUACUCACGUCCGAUUUAUUUUGCCUCUCUCUGGUAAAAUUUUCAGCUUCAGCAAAAUGCAUGGAAAAACCAGACACUGCGCGCUUCUUGAGUCGGCCGCUUGCCCCGGGAUAGUUUGCGUUUUGGUGUGCAUGCUCCGACCUGAGGCCACGUACCUGCUUCGGAUGCAGCCUUGCCUCUUCUCCCCCGGUUGUGCAUGCUGGUAACUUCCCUUUGCCACCAGUUCUGCUGUCCUGUAACCCAGCUGACACGUGGUUGAGCUGGAAUCUAAUAAAGCUUUCCCUGUCUUUCUCGUCUCUGUUUGAACUUGAAUUUCCGCAAUCCUAACGCA